RNAcentral lists this long non-coding RNA (887 nucleotides) under Homo sapiens (human). RNAcentral describes it as "long intergenic non-protein coding RNA 1503". Lineage: Eukaryota; Metazoa; Chordata; Mammalia; Primates; Hominidae. The record is from RNAcentral.
GGGAGAUUUGCUCUGCUACAAGGGUUUGUGAUAAAGGAUUAAUUUUCUUAAUUACUAUAUUUUGCAAGAAUCGAUAUUAUUAUCUUUAAAGCAAAAUUAGGAAUGCCUUUGUUCUUCAGAUAUGGCGAUAUCUGGACACUCCUAAGUCCGGGUCUGUUUUAGUAAACAUUAUUAAUUUGUUCCCUUAACCAUAAACCUCUAGGGGCUCGGAAUACCCACCUUUCUGGUAAUGCAGCCCAGCGGGUCCCAGCCUCGUUUUCCAGCCCUCACUCAAAAUGGAGUCGCUCUGGUUCGAACGCCUCUGACAAGUGUGUACCUACGUGUCAGGCCCAUCCUUCCUGCAGGCCUUUGUCUUGGUGUCACCCUGCCUGAGCUGGCCCCAACCACAGUAGCAACAGUGAUGCUGAUGUGUGACUGCUGCCAGGAGCCUGCUCACAUGACCGUGUGGAGAAAGUUCUUUCCCUGAGGACCAUCUGGAGUGGACGCGUGCACUACCCCUCUCUGAAUACACCCUCCCCACGAGGCCCUCUGGAGCAUCCUGUAGAGCCAGCCCCUACCCAGAGACCCUGAGCCCAGAGAAUGCGCUGGGUGGUGAGCCUGGGGACGAAUGCAGAGCCCUAGGUCUCCUCUCCAGAAAGACCGGAUUUUGCCAUGUUGGCCAGGCUGGUCUUGAACUCCUGACCUCAAGUGAUCCACCUGCCUCGGCCUCCCAAAGUGCAGGGAUUACAGGUGUGAGCCACUGCACCCGGCCUCAGGCAGGUAUUUUUACCAGCCGAAUACUCUUGCACUGUGCACUCUUCGUGUUCAUCAUCAGUCCCCCGGAUGGGUGUUUAAGGCAUUUCCAAAGCUCUGUUAUUAAAAACACGAUGCAAUGAGUUUCUUUCAGC